This 160-nucleotide ribosomal RNA is filed under the name uncultured Comamonas sp. RNAcentral's name for it is "partial 16S ribosomal RNA". It matches the Rfam family "Bacterial small subunit ribosomal RNA", at positions 355 to 507 of the family's 1533-position model. Lineage: Bacteria; Pseudomonadati; Pseudomonadota; Betaproteobacteria; Burkholderiales; Comamonadaceae. The record is from RNAcentral.
UGGGGAAUUUUGGACAAUGGACGCAAGUCUGAUCCAGCCAUUCCGCGUGCAGGACGAAGGCCUUCGGGUUGUAAACUGCUUUUGUACGGAACGAAAAAGCUCUUACUAAUACUAGGAGUCCAUGACGGUACCGUAAGAAUAAGCACCGGCUAACUACGUG